This 460-nucleotide ribosomal RNA is filed under the name uncultured bacterium. RNAcentral's name for it is "partial 16S ribosomal RNA". It matches the Rfam family "Bacterial small subunit ribosomal RNA", at positions 338 to 795 of the family's 1533-position model. The record is from RNAcentral.
CCUACGGGAGGCUGCAGUGAGGAAUAUUGGUCAAUGGACGAGAGUCUGAACCAGCCAAGUAGCGUGAAGGAUGACUGCCCUAUGGGUUGUAAACUUCUUUUAUAUGGGAAUAAAAUGUCCCACGCGUGGGAUUUUGUAUGUACCAUAUGAAUAAGGAUCGGCUAACUCCGUGCCAGCAGCCGCGGUAAUACGGAGGAUCCGAGCGUUAUCCGGAUUUAUUGGGUUUAAAGGGAGCGUAGGUGGAUGGUUAAGUCAGUUGUGAAAGUUUGCGGCUCAACCGUAAAAUUGCAGUUGAAACUGGCAGUCUUGAGUGCAGGAGAGGUAUGCGGAAUUCGUGGUGUAGCGGUGAAAUGCUUAGAUAUCACGAAGAACUCCGAUUGCGAAGGCAGUUCACUGGACUGCAACUGACACUGAGGCUCGAAAGUGUGGGUAUCAAACAGGAUUAGAUACCCGUGUAGUC